UCCCUAUCCAUUUCUACAUCGACAUAUGCAACAGAAACAAAUUAACAAAGUUACUUGCGGCUGCUGCUCAUGAGAUCUGAUUUCCCUCUACCUCUCUAGCUAGCUAGGUUAAAGCAUCUCCAGGACUCGUAUGCAGCUACUGAAAAUCUAAAUACGAAGGUUCUUACUUCUUUGGUUCAAACAAGUACUGGUAAAUAUUUCAAUAAAUCAUUAUAAGAUGUUCUCAUUCAAAAUAAAACAUAUAGACAGAUGACUGCAUAUAUAUAUAUAGGAAGAAUUUUAUUCAGAUUACCUACAGAGAGCUUACCUGACUGUUGAAGGAACUAGUAAUAUGUGUUUUCUGGGCAGGCGUUUUUUCAAUCCGUGUUGGUGUGUCCUUUCUACAUAAAUUUACUCUCUAGUCUUCUAGCAGUUUUCUUGUUUCGGCAUCUCAACAUUUAUCUAGUAGCAGAUGAACAGUGUAGUAGUUGUGGAUCUUGAUCCAGGAGAACUUCAAUUUAUAGAACCACAGAACACAUUUGACUGAUUGACUCACCAUAUUUUUAUAGAUGAACUAAAAUAUAUAACUACAUGGAGGUGCAUUCAAGCUAGAUUUGUGUGCUGCGUCUGAAGUUGUUUCUUUGUUCCCUGCUUGUUUUGUUUUGAUUGGUAACAUAAACUGCAAAGUUCAGUUUGUUUGUGUACUUGUCAAAACAAAAACACUCAAUAAACACAUUAGUCUGUUGGGGUGUUUUCCAAUCUUCCUUCACUGUGAAGUUUCUUAGUUGAUUAAUUUAAUAUAUUUUUGUCCACCAUGUGCACUUCAUUUCAGGGUUUCAGUAGCCUAAUGUUGUUGGAUAUUUGGAAUUACGUCACCCCCUGCUGUUUUUCAUUUGUUGAGUGGUGCCCACUUGUUUAGAGGAAAUCCAAGAGCCAAUAUGAAAACUUUUACACGGCUUAUCAAGAACAAGAUAAAAUCAUUCUCAGCCAUGAUCGGUUCUGCAUGCUGCGGCUGCCCGCUUUUUAGUUAACACUUGUGAUUAUAUCUUCUAUAUCUACUGAUUCUAUACGUACAAAUGACCGACCUAGAAAAGCAAAUCAAAAUUAUAGGUGCUAAUAAGAUCAUGCGUUCUUUCUUUAUAGCAUACUGGAAAUCACCAACUUUGGCUAUUUCAAGUACAAUCCACUUUUGGUAGGCAACUUCCCAUUCAUAUUCCAGAUCUCACGUGCCACCACAAGGUCCACCGUAUGGGUGCUGUUGACGUGUGCUGCCAUGUGGAAUAUGUGUACCCUUUUUAAGUUCUAGUUCAUUUGUGUACUUUUCACUUUUUAUUUGCUGCAGACUUGCAGGAGCCCGCAAACUCAGAGACGGCGCCUAAUUUGUCUACAUUUAGUGGUCAUCAUCAUCGUAAAGGGUAUUUAUGUCAUUUAAUUGUAUAAUAUCUUCUUAGGUAGGUGAAAUCAGGAGGACGGUGAUCGGGGCUUUACAAUAUGCAUAUAGGAGACUGUGUCCAAUGAGGGAAUGGUAACCUAAUUUAGGAAAUUUUGAGUCUUAAGGCAUAGAAAAUUUCCUUAAACCCACCCGAUCCAGAAAAUAUCCUUUUUAUUUCGACUAAUAACUUUUUUUUUAAAACAAUUUGAAGCAAUGAAAAAUCAAAGAAGACGCAAUAAGCUCGGAAUAUGCACGUAAAGGCGGGUACCAACCGGCGGGUAUUAAUUGGGUGAUCCAACUAUCAAGAUCGACUAUAAUUUUUUUGAUAUUUAGACUGUUUAGAAACUUGGUGGUGUACACUGUACUCUGUACGAUUUGAUCAGCGUUGAAACUGGAAAUAUAAAACUUCAAAGUCCGGAUUAAAGUGGAACUUUGAAUUCUGGUAGUAAUCAAAAGGUAUUUGACGACCUAAGCCGCUUGAAGUCACGGUACGGUCGGUCAGAGUAUAAGUCGAGGUGGUAAACCCCAAGCCAGUCGGUGGAGGACAAUUUAUUGAAUUUAGCUGAUACACAAAGGGCAUUCAGUAUCUAAGCCGAAUGGUUGCAGGGUCCGCUGCAUCUUUCCUUCUUGGCAUAGCAAAGAGGUGAUUAUGGUAUCCGUUGAAUGAGAUUUGAUUUACCAUCAUUAGCAGUUAGACGUAUCAAUCUAAUCAAUCCCCAAAGUAAAACUUGACUUGCUCAUAUUUCACUUUUUUUUUUUUUUUUUUUUUGGUGAGGAUAGUCAACUUGUUGGAAAUGAAUUCUUAGAUGGGACACUACUACCAUAAUUUAUAAAGGGAUAUCAAAUUUUAAGAGGUGUCGUUUCAUAUGAAACAAAAUAAUCCUAAAUACUGGAUCUCUUGACUGGUUUGAUAUCGCCUUGAUACAUUUGUGACUUCUACUGGUAACAA
Molecule: long non-coding RNA, 2360 nt
Organism: Papaver somniferum (opium poppy)
Lineage: Eukaryota; Viridiplantae; Streptophyta; Magnoliopsida; Ranunculales; Papaveraceae
Exons: 4
Source: RefSeq, a predicted model, not a curated record